UACAGAGGUCUCAAGCGUUGUUCGGAUUCAUUGGGUGUAAAGGGCGCGUAGGCUGCGGGGCAAGUCGGGUGUGAAAUCUCAGAGCUCAACUCUGAAACUGCACUCGAUACUGCUUUGCUUGAGGACUGGAGAGGAGAUUGGAAUUCACGGUGUAGCAGUGAAAUGCGUAGAUAUCGUGAGGAAGACCAGUGGCGGAGGCGGAUCUCUGGACAGUUCCUGACGCUGAGGCGCGAAGGCCAGGGGAGCAAACGGG
This 253-nucleotide ribosomal RNA is filed under the name uncultured bacterium. Its description in RNAcentral is "partial 16S ribosomal RNA". It matches the Rfam family "Bacterial small subunit ribosomal RNA", at positions 524 to 776 of the family's 1533-position model. The record is from RNAcentral.